RNAcentral lists this ribosomal RNA (253 nucleotides) under uncultured bacterium. RNAcentral describes it as "partial 16S ribosomal RNA". It matches the Rfam family "Bacterial small subunit ribosomal RNA", at positions 524 to 776 of the family's 1533-position model. The record is from RNAcentral.
UACGUAGGGUGCAAGCGUUGUCCGGAAUUAUUGGGCGUAAAGAGCUCGUAGGCGGUCUGUCGCGUCUGGUGUGAAAAUCCAGGGCUUAACCCUGGACCUGCAUCGGGUACGGGCAGACUAGAGUGCGGUAGGGGAGAUCGGAAUUCCUGGUGUAGCGGUGAAAUGCGCAGAUAUCAGGAGGAACACCGAUGGCGAAGGCAGAUCUCUGGGCCGUAACUGACGCUGAGGAGCGAAAGCAUGGGGAGCGAACAGG